Molecule: long non-coding RNA, 1205 nt
Organism: Gallus gallus (chicken)
Lineage: Eukaryota; Metazoa; Chordata; Aves; Galliformes; Phasianidae
Source: Ensembl
GAGAACAGUCCUAGAGCAUCGUCCUGCAGGGAUGCUUGUACUAUGUCAUCAUAAAUAAGCAAUUUGGCAUAGCUAGGAAUGGCUGCUCCAUAAAGAACCAUUGUGUAGCUCAAGAGCACUGAUGGGAGGAAGAGUUUUCUCCAGGUAGUGCUACAUGAUGGAGUACAGCUUGGCUCUGCAAAGUCCUAGUGUUAAGCUAGUGGAUCUAAUGUCACAGGGUGAAACAAGUUCCUAUGACAACACUGAGACUUUGGAGUUCUAGCAAAACCCUUGUUUCCAUGUGACAACAGCAGAAAAAAAAAAGAUCAUCAGUAGUGAUUGUCGGCAUCUUGAACAUCUUCCAGUUGCACGUCUCAGCACACAGGAACCUACAGGUCUUUUACUUCGCUACUUUCAACACAGUCUUGAGUCAAGUCAAUCGUUGAGCAAAAUCAGUGGACACCAAAUGUUUCUUCCUGGGAGGUGCCACGUGCUUCUACCACACACUGGGUUCCAUUUUGCUUUCCAAGUGCCAUCUUGUUCAUAGGCUCAUCCUCUGUAUUUUUACCAUUUUUUAGAAGAGUAACAACUGGCUCUUAUGUGUGUGUUUGAUAUUCUUUCUCACUGUGGAUUGUCAGCCACCAGAUAUGGAUAAAGUGCAAUUUUAACAACCUAUUAAUUCCCUAGUGCAUGUUACAAAGAAACAUCUAACAACCUCCUCAGCUCAUUCUGUCCGACAUCCACAGAAAAUAAGGUGUAUGCUGCCAGAUAGAGCAACCCCCUUUUCAACUUCAGUAAGAAGAUAUGUUCUUGAAGGUCUUUUAUUUAGGAAGAGGAGUAAAAUGCUAAGAAGCGCCAAGAUUUUUCUUUUGUAUAUAAAUCCAUUCACUUUUUAUUUCUGGGGUCAUGCACCGCUGAGGUAUGUGGUAAGGAAAUAGCAUCUUGAACUUGCUUUAUAUUGAAAAAUGAAACAGAUCUUCAAUAUUCCAUUGAGAAGAGGGUGUGCAUCGUUUCUUGAGAAUAAGCCCUUUGUGUCUCUAUUAUUUUUACAAUGCACUUUAAUGACCUGAAAGCAUGUGUGUGCCUUCUUAAAUCAUCACAUACAAAACUACAUUCUGACUGUAAAAUAUAUUAAGAAUCUUAUAGAGGAAGUUAUGCCAUGUGUGUUAUUUUUUAUUCCCUGCUCUCAAAGAUAGGAUGAGUUUUGCCCAUAUUACAGGGACAAG